RNAcentral lists this long non-coding RNA (556 nucleotides) under Homo sapiens (human). Its description in RNAcentral is "non-protein coding CASC22:29". Lineage: Eukaryota; Metazoa; Chordata; Mammalia; Primates; Hominidae. The record is from RNAcentral.
UGCUUCACGUGACUUUUGAGUUAUAGCUGACUGCCCUAGCUCACAUUUUAGUGCCAGAAGAUCCCAGACCACCACCCAUGAUCCCAGGCUGGAGGAAGCAGCAGGCUAGCGGAAUUCAGGACCAAUGAGCCAGGAAAGAGGACCCAAUGCAGAGCUCACAUCCCACCCUCCUUCCCCCAUGACAAAGCACUGGCAAACCCUGCCAAAGAAGAAGCUUGGCUGCAAAGCAGUCUGGAACUGGACCCGGGAUAGAUUCACCAGGAGCUCACCACCACAGGGAAUGCUGCACUUUGACUGGACAGAAUGCAUCCUCCAUGCCCACAGAGCAUGUGCCCAGGAUGAAUCUCACUGUAUCCCAGUUCCUCAUGCUUGGCCCCAAACCUCUUUUUCACAGUAAUAAAGAAAACACACUUUACAAAAAGGCAGUUCAUCUAUGAACAUAUUGGCUAGGAUAACACAUCUUAGAGCUAAAUGUGUCACUGUAAAUGGACUCAUUUUAUAUCUCCACAUACUGUAGAUGUUUAAAAAAAGGUACAUGCACAGAAACUAUGGGAAC